UACGUAGGGGGCAAGCGUUGUCCGGAAUCAUUGGGCGUAAAGAGCGUGUAGGUGGCUCGGUAAGUCCGCUGUGAAAGUCCAGGGCUCAACCCUGGAAAGCCGGUGGAAACUGUCGAGCUCGAGUCCGGAAGAGGCGAGUGGAAUUCCUGGUGUAGCGGUGAAAUGCGCAGAUAUCAGGAGGAACACCAAUGGCGAAGGCAGCUCGCUGGGACGGUACUGACACUGAGACGCGAAAGCGUGGGGAGCAAACAGG
Molecule: ribosomal RNA, 253 nt
Filed under: uncultured bacterium
Lineage: Bacteria
Description: partial 16S ribosomal RNA
Rfam family: Bacterial small subunit ribosomal RNA
Source: RNAcentral